Molecule: small nucleolar RNA, 138 nt
Organism: Ornithorhynchus anatinus (platypus)
Lineage: Eukaryota; Metazoa; Chordata; Mammalia; Monotremata; Ornithorhynchidae
Source: RefSeq, a predicted model, not a curated record
CCCCUCUCAGGGUCACACCUGGAGAGUUUCAAGUACUCCACCAGUCUCGACUAAGGGAGGGAGAGUCAAGCAGAGGCCUAUUCGUUCCAUUCCUAGCUUGGGCAGUAGCUAGCUAGUGGAAGGCAAUCUGCUACAAGU